This 373-nucleotide ribosomal RNA is filed under the name uncultured organism. RNAcentral's name for it is "partial 16S ribosomal RNA". It matches the Rfam family "Bacterial small subunit ribosomal RNA", at positions 527 to 896 of the family's 1533-position model. The record is from RNAcentral.
GGAGGGCGCGAGCGUUGUUCGGAAUCAUUGGGCGUAAAGCGCGUGUAGGCGGCUUGGUAAGUCGGGUGUGAAAGCCCGGGGCCCAACCCCGGAAUUGCAUUCGAAACUGCCUCGCUAGAGUCCCGGAGAGGAGAGCGGAAUUCCCGGUGUAGAGGUGAAAUUCGUAGAUAUCGGGAGGAACACCAGCGGCGAAGGCGGCUCUCUGGACGGUGACUGACGCUGAGACGCGAAAGCGUGGGGAGCAAACAGGAUUAGAUACCCUGGUAGUCCACGCCGUAAACGUUGGGUGCUAGGUGUCGCGGGUAUUGACCCCCCUGCGGUGCCGUCGCUAACGCAUUUAGCACCCCGCCUGGGGAGUACGGUCGCAAGACUA